RNAcentral lists this ribosomal RNA (496 nucleotides) under uncultured bacterium. RNAcentral's name for it is "partial 16S ribosomal RNA". It matches the Rfam family "Bacterial small subunit ribosomal RNA", at positions 38 to 506 of the family's 1533-position model. The record is from RNAcentral.
GGGGGGGGGGGGCGGGGGGCCGGGUCCGGGCAAGUCGGGCGGACGGACGAGGAGCUUGCGCCUCUGACGUUGGCGGCGGGCUGGUGCGUAACGCGUUGAUCACCUACCUAUAAGACUGGGAUAACUUCGGGAAACCGGCGCUACUACCGGAUACUAUAUUGAACCGCAUGGUUCAAUCGUUACAGCCGGUUUUGCUGUCACUUCUCUCUUGCUCCGCGCCGCCUUGACUAGUGGGCAAGGUAACGGCUUACCAAGGCAACGAUGCGUAGCCGACCUGAGAGGGUGAUCGGCCACACUGGAACUGAGACACGGGCCAGACUCCUACGGGAGGCAGCAGUAGGGAAUCUUCCGCAAUGGGCGAAAGCCUGACGGAGCAACGCCGCGUGAGUGAUGAAGGUCUUCGGAUCGUAAAACUCUGUUAUUAGGGAAGAACAAGUGUGUAAGUAACGAUGCACGUCUUGACGGUACCUAAGCAGAAAGCCACGGCUAACUACGU